AUAGGACAUCUCAUUUUAUUAAACAGCAAACAGUGAAUAACAGGGAAUACAAUAUCAUCUUAUUUGUGUUUUUCAUUUUCUUCAUCUUCUUAUGGGGUGUAGGGACUGACAGAGGGGGUGUGGGGACUGACAGAGGGGGUGUAGGGACUGACAGAGGGGGUGUAGGGACUGACAGAGGGGGUGGGGUGUAGGGACUGACAGGGGGUGUAGGGACUGACAGAGGGGGUUUAGGGACUGACAGAGGGGGUGUGGGGACUGACAGAGGGGGUGUAGGGACUGACAGAGGGGGUGUAGGGACUGACAGAGGGGGUGUAGGGACUGACAGAGGGGUGUGGGGACUGACAGAGGGGGUGUGGUGUAAGGACUGACAUUAGAGGGACUGACAUUAGAGGGGGUGUGGGGCGUUGUGUAGGGACUGACAUUAGUGGGGGUGUGGGGCGUUGUGUAGGGACUGACAGAGGGGGUGUGGGGACUGACAGAGGGGGUGUGGUGUAGGGACUGACAUUAGAGGGACUGACAUUAUAGGGGGUGUGGGGCGUUGUGUAGGGACUGACAUUAGUGGGGGUGUGGGGCGUUGUGUAGGGACUGACAGAGGGGGUGUGGGGACUGACAGAGGGGGUGUGGUGUAGGGACUGACAUUAGAGGGACUGACAUUAUAGGGGGUGUGGGGCGUUGUGUAGGGACUGACAUUAGUGGGGGUGUGGGGCGUUGUGUAGGGACACCCCCUCUGUCAGUCCAUUGUCAUGUUAUAUUUAGGGAUGAUGCAUUGUAACUGUAUUGCGUAAAUUCAGCACUAUAGCGCAAUUGAAAUUUAAAAAGGCAAUGUUCCCUAAUUCGUGAAAUAAUGCAUUCAUGGUAAACCAUCACAUUUCAAUCCCAGCAUAGCGCUGAACUACCGCGGUACGGAUUGGAUGGAGCCCUCAAAGUCCUUUAAAGCACAACAGCAUUUCCUCUUGGAGGAAUACAGAGAACAGAGAGAGGUCUCACAGCCCCCAGGCCUUACGGGUGUCUCUGUAGAGCUGACUCUGUCUUAGAGAGUUACUACUGGUACACAUGGUGUGAUAGCAGCCCCCAGGCCUUACGGGUGUCUCUGUAGAGCUGACUCUGUCUUAGAGAGUUACUACUGGUACACAUGGUGUGAUAGCAGCCCCCAGGCCUUACGGGUGUCUCUGUAGAGCUGACUCUGUCUUAGAGAGUUACUACUGGUACACAUGGUGUGAUAGCAGCCCCCAGGCCUUACGGGUGUCUCUGUAGAGCUGACUCUGUCUUAGAGAGUUACUACUGGUAAAUACAUGGUGUGAUACCCCGUGUUCAAAAUGAUGCAUUUCUCAUUCCAAGAUGACACUGUUCCAACACCAAGAGCUCAUUGCCUUGUGUUGUCUAGUGUUUCAGUGAGAGGAUAUUAUCUUUUCCCUUCUCUCUCUGUUUCUCACCUCUCUCUCUGUUUCUCUCCUCUCUCUCCCCCACAUUGCCUUGAGUUGUCUAGUGUUUCAGUGAUAGGAUAUUAUCUUUUCCCUUCUCUCUCUGUUUCUUACCUCUCUCUCUGUUUCUCUCCUCUCUCUCCCCCACAUUGCCUUGAGUUGUCUAGUGUUUCAGUGAUAGGAUAUUAUCUUUUCCCUUCUCUCUCUGUUUCUUACCUCUCUCCCCCCCUCUCUCUGUUUCUCUCCUCUCUCUCCCCCACAUUGCCUUGUGUUGUCUAGUGUUUCAGUGAUAGGAUAUUAUCUUUGUAUGACUAGUAUCAUAGUGAGUUUUGAUGUGAUCUUGUGCCUAAUAUUCCUUUGUGCUUUAAAAAAAAGAAGAGUGUAUAUAUAUAUAUAUAUAUAUACUCUAAAAUGUCUUAUUUUGGUGUUCCAAUCAGACAGAAAUAUACACAUUAGUCAUUUAGCAUCUUAUCCAAUCAGACAGAAAUAUACAUGUUAGUCAUUUCGCAGACGCUCUUAUCCAGAGCAGUUAGGGUUAAGUGCUUCGCUCAAAGAAACGUCAACAUAUGUUUUUCCCCUAGUCGGCUCAGGGAUUCGAACCAAUAACCUUUUGGUUACUGGCCCAAACACUCUUAACCACUAGGCUACCUGUUGCCAUACGGAGGUCACACUAACCGACUGAAAACUACAGCAUUACGACACAGUCACUGGCCCAAACACUCUUAACCACUAGGCUACCUGUUGCCAUACGGAGGUCACACUAACCGACUGAAAACUACAGCAUUACGACACAGUCAGACACACACACACCACAUACUCUACUGUACACUCACAAGCAGAUCGAAGUGGUAAGUGCAAAUUCACAACUGAUCAAACGAAACGGAAAUGACAUCAUUAAUUCAACAUGUUUGAAGAUUUAAACCGUAACAAGAAAUCAUGAGAAAAAGGGUAAAACAUUAUAAAAAUUUAAAUCGAGAAAACAAUAACAAUUGUCAACAAUCACAACAGCCAUUUGCAAUCACAAUGAUGACAUCAUUCGAGACGAGUUAAGCGAUUGGAAUGUUUUGAGGAAAAAAACAACAUGAAUAAAAUAACAUUUUGAGAUCAAUAAGCUCCAUCCCAAAUGGCACACUAUUCCAUUUACAGUGCACUACUUUUGACUAGGGCCUAUGGGGACGAGUGCACUAUAUAGGAAAUAGGGUGCCAUUUUGGGAUGCAGACUCUGUCUCUCUGGUCAUGGCAGGGUGGUCCUAGGUCUCCUAUAGGAGGACUUCCCUAGCUACCUCACCUCUACAGAAUAGGACCGAACCAGGUCGGCUCUCACACUGUAAGACAGAGAUAGUUGUUACUACUGACACCUUGGGCACUGACACCUUGGGCACUGACACCUUGGGCACUGACACCUUGGGCACUGACACCUUGGGCACUGACACCUUGGGCACUGCCACCUUGGGUACUGCCACCUUGGGUACUGCCACCUUGGGCACUGCCACCUUGGGCACUGCCACCUUGGGUACUGCCACCUUGGGCACUGCCACCUUGGGUACUGCCACCUUGGGUACUGCCACCUUGGGCACUGACACCUUGGGUACUGCCACCUUGGGUACUGCCACCUUGGGCACUGACACCUUGGGCACUGACACCUUGGGCACUGACACCUUGGGCACUGCCACCUUGGGGGAAAAAACAUUCUAAUAACAACGAAAUUCUAAAAUCAAGUAUUUUUUCCCGACUAGUAUAGUAAUGCAUUUAAGAAUUAGAUUUACUAAAUAGAUUCAAGUAUAAUUUUGUUGGCUACAUUUCUCCACUGCUGUAAGCUAAAAAAAAUAAUUUUAAAAAAUCAAAAAAUAUGUUUGAUUUCACAUUAAUUUAUAAUGAUAAUCACAUUAAUUUAUAAUGAUAAUCACAUUAAUUUAUAAUGAUAAUCACAUUGUUUAUUCUAUUUUCUUCAGAAACGAAUUCCUGGUGGCAUAGUAGUAAACAUGUAUUUGGUCAUAAAUGAUGAGAUCACAGAGUGAAAAACAUUAUCGUUCCCCCUUGUAUACAGUUAAGAGUAUAAAGUUCAACCCUUUCUGCUUCCUGCAUUCAAAUUAUAUUAUUUUUACAUUCAAAUAAACAGGAAUUCCUUCACUGGAAUGUUUCCACAACAAUAGAAUAAUAACAAUAAUAAACAUAAAAUCAACAACAAUAUUGAUUGACAGACAGAAGGGGGACUGGAGAGGUAGAACGUAAAGACAUCCAUAAAUCAAACAAUAAAGACACUGUUCACAUCAUCUGCAUAUGUACAAUAUGGUAAGGUACAGAAAAACAAUACAUACAGAUAUAUAGAUAGAGCUAUAUAACUAUAUAUAUAUAUAGAGAGAGAGAGACAGAUAUAUAGAUAGAGCUAUAUAACUAUAUAUAUAUAUAUAUAGAGAGAGAGAGAGACAGAUAUAUAGAUAGAGCUAUAUAACUAUAUAUAUAUAUAUAUAUAUAUAGAGAGAGAGAGACAGAGAUAGAGCUAUAGAUAUAUAUAUCUAUAGCUAUAGAUGUAUAGAGAUAUAGAUAUAUAGUGCUAUAGAUAUACUGUAGAUAUAUAGAGCUAUAAAUAUAUAGCGCUAUAUAUAGAUAUAUAGAUAUAUAGAGCUAUAGAUAUAUAGAGCUAUAGAUA
Molecule: long non-coding RNA, 4071 nt
Organism: Oncorhynchus tshawytscha (Chinook salmon)
Lineage: Eukaryota; Metazoa; Chordata; Actinopteri; Salmoniformes; Salmonidae
Source: Ensembl